AAUCAACACCCCCUCCCCCUCUGCUGCCCUGGUGCCAAGUAGCCAACACACGGCGAGGGAUGGGACCCGAGGGGAUUGCACUGGAACCACAGGGACAGGGGACGGGGUAUUGCAGGUGACGCUGCUCCGGCUGCCAAGCCUGACAGCCACAGGGGCACCCGCCAGUGAGCAGAGGCUUUCGCAAAGCAAAGUGCGUAGGGGCUGGAGCGAUGAGCAGACCAAGGGGCGGUAAAGAGGCAGCGUGGAGAGCUGCAGCCUGGAAAGCAGGUGCAUGGUGCACACAAGGAGCAGGCAGAUUACAAAUCAGGAUGGACAACACGGAGUCCAGAGUUUUCCCAACCCCUGGAAAAGUGAACAAGAAAUAUGCUCCUCCAAGAAGUAGUUGCAGUUGGAAGCAUACCACAGAAGAAACAGAACUCCCCUAACCAAGAGAUCUAACAAUGCAAAUGGAAAGAAAGAUUCUCUCUUUUGUAUUAUGCCAGAUGAAAGAGAUGGACAAGCACACUUUAAAAGACCACAAUACAGAGGCAGGAGAAGCUGGAAGCAAAGAGGAAAGCCAGCAUCAUAUGAUCUGCCAGAUCUUCUACCUCGCAAGCAAGUGUUCCACAGGUCACCAGUAGCUUUCAGGUCACAGUUUGAAAGGCUCUGGUUUAAGGUAUAUAGAUGUGGAAUUUCCCUGUGCCAUACCUGAGGGAUGUGCAGUUUCAAAUCUGGGUGGAACCAGAAGAAUUUGUGAAGUUGAGUUGUUUUGACUGAAGUCAUGAAAAUUCUGGAUUGAAGAUCUGAAUCUAUAAUCUUAAAAAGAAGGUUGGCAAGCAAGAGCCUGCAUUGCAUCAGUAGAAGGGAUUUCAGGUGACUCCUCCUGAAUGAGAUUACGGCUUUCACUGUUGCCUUUUUUGCUAUACUGCAAUCUCCUGGAAUGAUCACACUAGACCUAUUAUCUUCUGAAGUGGGGAUGAUGGACGCUAACCUCAGCUGGAAUUAUGUCUUUUUGGAAGACGUUCAGUGAGAUCGCUAACAUUUUCAAGUAAGAAGGUCAAUUAUCCUCCUUCCAAAUGGAUUCAGUUUCCACUAAUCAUUCUUUUCUGAGAAAACCACAUUUUCUUUCCUUGUUCUCUACAUCACCUUUGUCCAUUCAACAGCCCUAAACAAUAACCUUCUUCUGAUCAACAUCUCCACUACAGAAGAUGCCUUUGAUUCUCUUAGAAAGACAGUCACAUCCUAUAGACUGCCUCCUCAAUCUUCUGCUGUAUCGAAAAGAGGAUAGAUCCAGCUGCUGCAGAUGCAUAAACAAAGAGCAUUGAACUCCUAUUUAUUUUUCCUGACUGCUUCCUCAGUCUGCUCUCAGUUUGAAUCUUUUUUGAAGGCUAUGGGUUAAGAAGUUGUGCUGAUGUGUUUGUGUAAUCUUCCUUCCCUCUCUCCUCUUGGUGUCUGAUCUUUCUUAGCUGCUUUUGAUAAGAUGUUCUAUCACCUCUAGCGAUAGACUGCCAGAUUAAAUCAGUAGAGGCGAAACUAAAUGACUAGCUUCCUUUUACAAACUUACGUCACGUGGAAUAAAUACAGGUUUUACAUUUAUGCAAAUUAAAUAAAUCACAUGAUUCUACUAAACCUUUUUGUGGAAAUAUUUAUAUAUUUCUCAACUGAUACUUAACUCAUAUAGAUAAGGCUAGUCUUAAUAUGUAACUAGAAGGCACAAGGUGUGCCACUAGAAUUUCAUAACUGGGUUUGGAAGAGGAGAAGAAAUACUGGAAAAUCUGCUUCUCUCUCACUUACAUGCCAAGUCCUGAGCACAUGAAUGGCUCUCCACCCCAUAAGUGGUGACAUCUUAAACACUAUUAACAGUGCUGGGAGUUGGCUAGAGAACCCUCAUUAGGGCUUGCAUGAGGUCACACACCUAAUUACUGGCAGAGCUCGACUAAAACCCAAGACUCAACUGCCCAGGGGACCAUACUGCCUCCGAUUGAGUCAUAAAUCACUGAUUGAUGGCGUUAUCUUAACUGUAUUAUGGCAGCUUAAAUAUUCAUAUGAAUUUAGAAAAAUGGCGGUUAAUAAAAAGAUAUAAACCUACAUUAUUUAGGUGGGGGUGGGGGGUUAAGUAUAAAACCUCUGCAAACAGAAAUACAAGACAUUUUAUUGAGGAGAAUAAAAACAGACAGCUAGAGCUGGAAACAGAAAUUUCAUCAACAAAGAUUUACUUUCCUUCAUUCCUGGAUUCUAGUAGAUAGAGCAUUAGAAGACACAAGAAACCGGUGCAAGGUAUAGAUUCCCCAUUAGAAGUUUUUAAGCAAACAUGUCUGAGCCUAGAAAAUGUAGUCGGCAAGACCUUUCUGUAGAUUUUCAGUCAGGCAGUGGGAAGAAAUUAAUCACAAUGCCAAAAUAAACAUUUUACUCAGCAAUAUUGUGAAGUGAUUAUAGGGGAUUUAUCACCAUUUUUCAUAUAAUGGCAUACAUUAAUUGUCAGGGCAUUUUUAGUGUGGGGGCCCUUAGCUCCACAGCUUGCUUACCAGCCAUUGGUCUACCACAUCUUGAGUUUAUUGACCCAUAAAAUGAGCUGGGCAUAUAUUUAUAGUAUAGUAUGUAGUGUAAUGAUAAAAAAGUCUUUCAAUCUUGACAUCAAGUUAUGUAUAUACAUUUUAAAUGUUCAGCAUGCAAAGACUACACGAUGGGUACAUUCCUAAAUUAAUAAAAAUAAGGGGAAACUUUGAUGAAUACAAAGAUGCCUCAGUCAAUAUUUGCAUCUGUCAGUAAAUCUUGAAAGUCAACAUCUGUUUAUUCAUAUAACAGUUACAUACUAGUUUAUUUAAUACUUGCUAGUAACAGUUCUCUGUUUUUCCAUAGAGUUUUUGAAACUUAACAAUAUCAUUCACAUGAAGCUCUCCAAAGCCAUCUUUGAGCCAUCUACCCAUCCUUCCAACUAGUUUCUUUCUGUGCCAAGAGUUGGGCUCCAUGAGUCCUGAAUUCUCUGAAAAUGGGUGUGUGUGUGUGUGUGUGUGUGUGUGUGAGAGAGAGAGAAAAGCUGCGCUUGGUUAAGAACAAAAAUAUUUUACCUGGCCAAUGUAACUGUUUCAGUGUCAUGUGCGUUUAUUUUAUUUUUUUUAUUUUAUUUUAUUUUAUUUUAUUUUAACUUUAUUGCAGUUUGAACUGGUGGAACAACUUGACUUUUUUAACUAACGAGACUUAUCUGUAGGCUUU
Molecule: long non-coding RNA, 3192 nt
Organism: Mauremys reevesii (Reeves's turtle)
Lineage: Eukaryota; Metazoa; Chordata; Testudines; Geoemydidae
Exons: 6
Source: RefSeq, a predicted model, not a curated record